Molecule: long non-coding RNA, 842 nt
Organism: Asparagus officinalis (garden asparagus)
Lineage: Eukaryota; Viridiplantae; Streptophyta; Magnoliopsida; Asparagales; Asparagaceae
Exons: 3
Source: RefSeq, a predicted model, not a curated record
AAUCAGAGUUCAUUCUUUCAAAAGUUUGUUCUCAACAUCGGAAAGACAUACAAGUUCCUUGUAAAGUUGGAUGAGAACUCAAAGGAUGAACGUGCACAAGGAAAGAUAAUAGCACAAGAAAAACAAAUCCAAGAAGACAUCACAAUCAACGUUGAUGAUGAUGAUUCAGUUCUCGAUUUACCAAAAAAGAAGAUAAAGGUGGAGAAGGAUUGAUCAAGGGCCCACAAAAAUUAAACAUAAAUGUUUUUUAGUUUUAAUUACAUUUACAAAUUGAUUGAAGGAUUUCAAAUGAACUUUUCAUAUGCUUUUAAGAUUAGGAACUGAUGAAUUUAAUUUGUUAGGACAAUUUAUGAUUUAUACGCAUAUGCUGAUAUAGUUGUUUGAUAACUAUUGCAUGCUUUGAUUGUUAUUGCAAUUAUUAACUUAAAUUUAACAUUAAAUUAUGUGAAUCUAAAUACAUAUUUAGAGAAUAGCUCACUUUAUUACUUUAAAUUUGCAUGUCAACUAUUUUUAACUUAUCUAUACUGCACAUGAACUAUUGUUGAUGAGUCCUUUGCAAGAAAUAUGAUGACCAAGCACAGCGUACUGAACAUGUUGAGAGGAAAAAAUAACUUUCCAUAGAGAAGAUUCUCAAUGUUCUUAAAAGAAUAAUCAAUGAAGAUUGACUACUACUAGAUUUCAUAAGGAAAGAUGAUCGUCCAAGGCCAUUAUUAUUUUGAGGACAUGUAUGACUUGGUUCAGUCUGGAAGAAUGCAGAGGGACAAUUAUCUUUUCUGAGACAUGCUGUGUCUGCACCACCUGAUGUAUUUAAAUUUGCACAUUGUUCAAGACACCUGGUAAUU